Molecule: ribosomal RNA, 253 nt
Filed under: uncultured bacterium
Lineage: Bacteria
Description: partial 16S ribosomal RNA
Rfam family: Bacterial small subunit ribosomal RNA
Source: RNAcentral
UACGUAGGGAGCAAGCGUUGUCCGGAAUCAUUGGGCGUAAAGCGCGCGUAGGUGGCCCUGUAAGUCCGUUGUGAAAGUCAAAGGCUCAACCUUUGAAAGCCGAUGGAUACUGCAGGGCUGGAGUCCGGAAGAGGCGAGUGGAAUUCCUGGUGUAGCGGUGGAAUGCGCAGAUAUCAGGAGGAACACCAAUAGCGAAGGCAGCUCGCUGGGACGGUACUGACGCUGAGGCGCGAAAGCGUGGGGAGCGAACAGG